RNAcentral lists this long non-coding RNA (1262 nucleotides) under Marmota monax (woodchuck). The record is from RNAcentral. Lineage: Eukaryota; Metazoa; Chordata; Mammalia; Rodentia; Sciuridae.
CUAAAACCAAUAUAAGAAAUCUGGGUCUGAUAAAAUUAGUGGCAGAGAGCCAUAAGAGGCUCUUGAACGUGGAGGUGACAUGUGAAAUUGUCCGAGGAAGAUUCAUCUCCCUGCUGUGUGUGAACUAAUAUGGAAAAGUCCGUGGCAGAGUCCAGGUUAAAGGUGCAGCUGUGGAGAUGGAGUGGAGAUGGGCCUGUCAGCAGCACUCCUCCAAGGCUAGGCAAUAGUAACAGCCAAGAUUCACUGAGUGCUUACCAUGUGCCAGUCAAAGGACCGAGAGCUUGUUAUAUGAAUCAACAGGUUCAAACCUCAAUAGAACGGUGUGAGAAGUCAAAUCUUGCUCCAGAUCAUGCAGUUGUAAGGGAGGAACUGGCAUUGAACACAGGCACUCUGGCUCCAAAGCCACUAUGCAGGACUGCCUCCCUGAAGUCAAAGACCAAGGGAAACUACCUGAGUACAGGGGCUGAAGGCAUGACCAAUAUGCCUAGAUUCAAGCCCCUGGAUUGCAUCCUGUCUCUGGCAUUUAGCAUGUAUUCUUGAAUGAUCCACUUAAAAUUCUAUCCCUCCUUUUCCUCAUUCAUAAUCAUGGGGAUUAUAAAUAAUAUUAUAACCCUUAUAGGGUUGCUAUAAGGUUUAAAUGUGGUCUAGUGUGUAUAGUGGUUGGCCAGUGCCUGACACACCGUGAGAGUUCACUAAAUGCUAACUACCAAUACACUCAUUAUUCUCAUCCUGUCUUAGAACAUCAAGCCCCGGCAGGCUAAUACUGUAACUGCCAGACCAUGGAGAAGGGGACGUUUGGGUUAAGAUUAUUUACCACCCCAAAUUCUUCUGUUCUUGAGUUACAGAAGAUUUGGGAUGGGUAGAAUUACAGUGAGGGAAAAGAUGAGAAUCUGGGGGUAGUUCCUAAGAGAAGAAUGAAAUAAAGAGCUUGAAGAAAAAAUGUUAGAAGUGAAGGAACCUGAGACUUUGGUUAAUGUAGAACCCCUUGGGUUGAGGGCAAGGAAGACUGGGACUGCCAUUUUAUUAAUAAUUUACAUCUUGAGCAUGAAUUCAACUUCCCUUUUGGUUUCCUCUUUUUCAUCCUCACUAUUAAUAGACUAUGCACAGAUUGAGAAGUAAUCUAUGUUGCAACACUUCCUUGGAACUGUAUUACUUAAAAUGGAGUCAUUUGAAGGACUUUGCUUUAAAGAAUACAAAAAUACCAGUUGCAUGAUAGGUGGUUGUCAUCAUUCAUAGGUCAGCGGGAUGUUAAUCCACUGACA